UUUUUUUUGCGGUUUGCUUAGCGUGCCUCGCUUGCUCGCUCCGGAGUCCCACGGGAGCUCGGUCUUGGUGAGCGUCGUCUAGGGAAGCGGCGACGGGAGCGUCUAGUAGGGGGGGCGGCUAGGUAGGGAAGCGGCGGCGGCUAGGGACGCGCACGCUCCUGCUAGGUGAUGUCCUCUGCGGCGGCUAGGGCACCUCCUGGGCAGCGGCUAGGGGAAGUCCUCGGCUGCGGCUAGGGGAUUCGGCCGCGACUAGGGGCAACUCCUCGGUGGCUGUUCUAGUGACUCCAAAUAACCCCUCACGAGUAUGCGCACUACCUCUCUUCUGUUGUGCGAAACGAGGAGGAGGUUCGGACGUUCAGACGAAGAAAAGUGGUGUUCCAUCUUAAUCACGAAAGUGUUGUGAGUCGCCCUCGAUUUCGACAUCAAAAAGUACGCGUACACGAUUAGCGGAACUCCUCUUUUAACAACGAACACAAUCGUAGUCCGUUCUGACCUCCACCUAACUACGUUGUUGAUUAGUGGUUUCUCUUGCGUUUCUCCAUGGACUUUCCGACUUGGACUAGAAACUACUUGAUCUUCCGGUUCUCUGGUUCCAUACGGGCAAGUAUCGAACUAAGGAAUGGUAUAUUAACGACUUUGUACGUCGUCUGUGUACUAAUUGGAAACAUGAAAUAUGAAGCGACCUUGUAAAUCCUGAGGUCACCCGCUGAGGACUUUACUCAUGAGGACUUUGAAAUUGGUCACCGGUACAACUACCAUAAAAAACCCUUGUCCCCUCCCGCACACAAUAACAAGUUUGGUCCGCGGACUAAAAAAAGUUAGAAAUCGGUCACUGGUGUAACGACGGGGUUCGCUACUUGUCCCCUCCCGCACACAAUAACGUCAAUUGAUACACAGUAGACCAGAAGUAUCACUAACCAUCGAAGUUUGGUAUUCGGUGGAGACUUAAGUAUAGCUUCAGUACGCUCGACCCGAAAACAACGAACCUAGAGGUCCCCGGACUAGUUAACUUGUUCAUAUAACCCCUCUCACUUAGUCUUCAUUCCUUUUAUACUUGAGCACGUUCGUGAUUGAGUAGUAUGUAGGAAAAAAAGACUCCAUUUUGAUUCAUCAACACCGUCGAAACCUACUCUCUUGGGUUAAGGACCAUUUAACCUGUAGUAGUUACUCAAGCAGCUCAAACUAACUUGAGAGUGUGAAACUUGUAGGAGAUAAAUUUCGUUCCGGUAGGGACAGUAUUGUCCAUGUCAUUUUACGGUUGUGUAUAUACUAACUACAAUACUAUCAUAUGAACUGAAACCCUACUACUCUAGCUGCCUUCGUUGUCCUCGGGUGCUGAGUACCCCUCCCGCACAUUGUUACGAAAGGAUGUAAACCACCUAAUAACGUAAACAUAAAAAAUAACAAUAGUAGAUCUUCUAAUAUAAGACAUACUUACGAAAAUUGUUACGAAGCAGUACGGCAGGGGCGGCUACGACGACAAGUACGGCAGGGGGGUCACGGAUCGUAGUGGCCGUUGUUCAAGUCGCGACAGGCUGUUCCACGGGACGUCCCUGUUGGAGGCAGCUGGACAGUAGCUUGAAGUCAUACGCACGAAACAAGAGACUUUGACUUAAGUCUGGAACUCAUGAUGAAAAUAAACUUUCUUUUAUACACGCGCUAAGGUAUUGAAUACGGUUUUACGUAUCGUAUCGAACCAUAUGUGCUUAACGUUAGACUUGCAAAAAGAGACACAGCAGCAGGACGAAAGACCAAGAGACAAUAGACAGUAGAAUAUAGAGACUUAACAACAACCGACGUACGCGUCGACGAAAUCCGUCCUCGUCACUGAUCGUAACUGGUCCUCCUCGUUCUUCGUCGCUGUCGAUGGUAACGACCGACUCGAUCGACGAUCCAACGGAGAGAGAAAGGGAGUAUAUACACCCAAACGUUGUCGGUUUUUAUGCGAACGCUAAGAAACAAAAGUGAUUGUCAGGUAUAAACCUACGGAAGAAAGAUGGGUCGAAACCAAUGAACGCUGCCCAACACCCGACGUUCAAUCUUAUUAGCCAUGACUUUUGCCGAAGACUUACAAUUUUUCGGUUACCCCAUCUUUCGAUCUCUAUUGAUCCCCAACCCUGCGGUGGAACACCGCGGAGUACUCUCCUUCGACCCGCCACGGUCCAACCGUCGGCGGGUAAGAUCAAGAAAAAAAUGUUAAAACCAUUGUGGCGUUGUACUGUACAAUCACUCUUCAACGUGAUAUUUAAAACCUCCAAAUACUACUGCCUCCUCUAUAGUAGAAACGAGGAGGAUAAGUGUCCAACUUCGAGAUGAUCGUUGCCUACAAAUGCUGCUACGUCCUCUACGGCAGAAACGAAGAUGACAAGUAGCCGACUAGGCACUCUACGAAGCGUCAACGGACACACAGGGACUACAGUAACUAGAAACAGUCUAUUAUACAGAUAGAUAAACAUUUCUAACUAUCAGGUGGAAUGAUAGAUCUAUAAAAGUCAGGAAAAGUUUCCUUGGUUUGGUAAACAUCAACUGUCAAAUAUGUUUAUGUAUGGGUACUAAUAAUUCUACUGUACAUGUGUAAUAAAACAGAUAGGUUGUUCGUUUAAAGGUGCUGUUCGUUUGUUAAGUUCGUGGUUUAUCACGUACUUGGUGUAGUCCUCCUCUCCUCUCCCUGGUUUGUCGCUCCAGUGAACGGAAAAUAGACGGCCGUUGGUAUAGUCAGUAACAGCGGCAGCGGAGGACGACGGAGCUGGUGGUAACACCUAGUCGUCGCAGAACGUGACGUGAUAGUAUAAGUACAUAAAUGAGAUUAUUUCUCUUAAAAGUAGUAUGUUCCUACACGAAGACGUUGAUUGUACGUAGAUGUCUUCUGGGAUAUAUCAUAUACACUAGUUUAAAUAAGGAGAGGUUACAGGUAUUAACGGUAGAGGAGGGAUACAAGGAUUGUGAGAAUCAAAGACUAUACUUGUACGAUGAUAUGACUGCAAACCACAUUCACCAUGACAAAAUCUUACUAUUUUAUCUGACGAGAACCAACAACAGAGUGUGUGACCUUAGAUAAUGUCAUAUUGGUUGUACUCGUUCGGUAGUAACUAAAUGAUGAAAACAUGAAGACUAGGGGGUAAGAAAUUGUUUGAACAUUAAGAAGAAAGAAUAUAACUAGGUCUAAUAAAGUACCACGGUGAAUUAAGUAUCAUGUCUAAAAGAAAUGUACCCUAUUCUUAUCUCUGAUUGGGACUAUGUUUAACUACCAAUUGAACUGAAUUCGAUCUAGGAUAAAAGACUUGGUUUCUAUUCCAUUUGUCAUCUUCAGUGAGUAUUUAAUAAACUGAUUCUAGACAAUUACCAUAGGGGAUCAGGUUCCAACAUGGUAGGAUUUUCUAAACUAAUAACGUCGGUUUGAGAUUUAUGUUAAUCACGGACGUAGAUCGUGGAGGCCAAGGGAACGAGGGUAUGUACAGUACCUAUCGAGAGGUAACAUGA
Molecule: ribosomal RNA, 3480 nt
Filed under: Triticum aestivum (bread wheat)
Lineage: Eukaryota; Viridiplantae; Streptophyta; Magnoliopsida; Poales; Poaceae
Description: partial small subunit ribosomal RNA
Source: RNAcentral